This is a long non-coding RNA of Etheostoma spectabile (orangethroat darter), 1857 nucleotides long. RefSeq lists it as uncharacterized. The transcript is spliced from 3 exons. The record is from RefSeq and is a predicted model, not a curated record. Lineage: Eukaryota; Metazoa; Chordata; Actinopteri; Perciformes; Percidae.
AAGCUCGAAUUUGAAUAGACAGGGGUCAUAAUUGGGUCAGCACUAUCAAGGUGGUUUACAAUUGCUGUAGAACAUCUAAGUGGCCAUGGUAUAAGCACAAUACCUAUCUGCGCCAUAUAGAAAUUAAUGAACUUGGUGGAGGAAAUGACAUACUCUUCACAUUCUUUGGCCUCCACCUACUGUACAUGUAGUGCAUUAUGACCAACAUAUUUAACCUCUUCUAGAAGCACCAGAGCACGCCUAAAAAAAUCUUUUUUUUAAAUUUUUAAAUUUUUCUCUAGUGAUUAAUGGCCCCUGUGGCAUUAAAAUGACAUCAUAUAAGCAUCCAUCGCACACAAGGCCCAUAUAGAGGGUGUAACACAGGACCAUUAGUCUGAGCCAGACAGAAAUAGCUUGAUGGAAAAACAUCUCCGUUUUGUAUAGAACUAUUUUACCUCUCUGUUGCCUUGGCCAUCUUUUAUCUUGACUUCGAACCCUUUCUUCUUCUGGUAUGCAAUUUUCUAGGUGUGAGGAUGACUGGGCCUCUUUUCCGAAGAGAGAUAAAUGAUGAGUCAAAUCCUUAAAACGUUUUACAAAAGGGAACUAAAUGAAACAGACCUUGCGUUUUUGUUUUAAUUAUUUACAUUUUAGGAUGGACCGUUUAGUGUGGCCAUCAUUUUCAAAAUAUUCCAGGGAGCAUAACGAAAUAGGAGAACAACUAUCUUUUUUACCCUAUUAUUUGUAACCAAAGAAAGUCACUACUGAUGCCCUAUCAUUUGCUGCCAGGGUUGAAGUGAAGAUAUGGAAGAUUAGAGGGCCAUGGGUGUAAUUAUUUUUUCAAUUAUUUUUUUCGUGAUCACAAAAUACUUUUUGUAAACUAUUCUAACAAGUCUCUGUUGAUGAUUCUCAGUGUGAUAACAGAAUCAUUAUUAUGUGAUCUUGUCAUAACAUAAUAGGCAGGGGCUUAGAGUCUGCUGGGGCUGGUCAAAGCUGUAAUAUUCAAAAAUACUGUGGACUUGAUAAGUAUACUACAUCCAUAAACAUUUCGUCCUACAAUAUUCCUUAUAGUAUUACUAGUAGUAGAGAGUUUUCCAUUGGUAGGAACCAUUUGGGCUACAGUAUAGUUAUCUUGCACGAGCUGAUCAUCGAUCAUUCUCAUCUAUCCAUCCUGGUCGCAGUUACGGCAGGCUAAGCAAGGAACACACGCGCAUGCGUCUCGUUAGCCUCAUACCCCAGCUAAUACCCAGAAUUCCGAGAAAUUCCCCAGUUUGGUGGCGCAUGUAUUCCCAUCAGCAUGCUCUUUGUUCAUUAGCCAAUUUUGUCUAAAUGAUCAUGAGAAGUCAAUUUUGUAGGUUUAGUCAAUUUUGUUAUCACGAAAAAACAAAGCUUGUUCAUUUUGACAGUUUUCUUGGGAUUUCAAGAAAACUAAAAAGCAUCAAUCAUCUUAACAACCCAUGUGCUCUACUGCCUUCUGUACGUAGACGUCUAGGAAGAUAAAAGAUUUUUGAAAGUCUUUCUCCGGUAAUGAAGAAAUGUAUAUGCAGCCCUUCUCCACCCCCCCUCCCCCCUUCUUUGAAACAUACUCUGUACAAUUAGGUCUAGUUUCCUCACAAUCAAAUACACCCUCUGUUAAGUUUCACAUAACCUUAUGAUAAAUAUACUCUUUAACUUAUUUUUGUUGUCUUAUCAUAAUAAUAUGUAACACAUGUAAAUAGGGUAUGUUGUGCUAGAAAGCCACUGAGCUUUUUGAGAUGCCAGAAGGAAGACUUACAGUAAUGGUAAAAACACUUGAAUGGCAAAAAAAAAGAGUUGAUAAUAGCCUCAUUCAGAGGAAACAAACAGUGGCCAGUUGUGAAUUUAUCUUUAUUAACUUGUCAA